GCCGCCUGGACGAGCAGCGGCUGCGCCUGGUCGUCCCCGCCGACCACCGGCUGGCCGCCCGGCGCCGGGUCCGGCUCGCGGAGGCCGCC
Molecule: transfer RNA, 89 nt
Filed under: Streptomyces griseoviridis
Lineage: Bacteria; Bacillati; Actinomycetota; Actinomycetes; Kitasatosporales; Streptomycetaceae
Also listed under: 1 other name
Description: tRNA-Gly
Source: RNAcentral